UGGCGGACGGGUGAGUAACGCGUGGGUAACCUGCCUCAUACAGGGGGAUAACAGUUAGAAAUGACUGCUAAUACCGCAUAAGACCACAGCACCGCAUGGUGCAGGGGUAAAAACUCCGGUGGUAUGAGAUGGACCCGCGUCUGAUUAGGUAGUUGGUGGGGUAACGGCCUACCAAGCCGACGAUCAGUAGCCGACCUGAGAGGGUGACCAGCCACAUUGGGACUGAGACACGGCCCAA
RNAcentral lists this ribosomal RNA (238 nucleotides) under uncultured bacterium. Its description in RNAcentral is "partial 16S ribosomal RNA". It matches the Rfam family "Bacterial small subunit ribosomal RNA", at positions 96 to 334 of the family's 1533-position model. The record is from RNAcentral.